RNAcentral lists this ribosomal RNA (429 nucleotides) under Chloroflexota bacterium. RNAcentral's name for it is "Chloroflexi bacterium partial 16S ribosomal RNA". It matches the Rfam family "Bacterial small subunit ribosomal RNA", at positions 355 to 776 of the family's 1533-position model. Lineage: Bacteria; Bacillati; Chloroflexota. The record is from RNAcentral.
UGGGGAAUAUUGCACAAUGGGCGCAAGCCUGAUGCAGCCAUGCCGCGUGUGUGAAGAAGGCCUUCGGGUUGUAAAGCACUUUCAGCGGGGAGGAAGGCGGUGAGGUUAAUAACCUCAUCGAUUGACGUUACCCGCAGAAGAAGCACCGGCUAACUCCGUGCCAGCAGCCGCGGUAAUACGGAGGGUGCACGCGUUAAUCGGAAUUACUGGGCGUAAAGCGCACGCAGGCGGUCUGUCAAGUCGGAUGUGAAAUCCCCGGGCUCAACCUGGGAACUGCAUUCGAAACUGGCAGGCUAGAGUCUUGUAGAGGGGGGUAGAAUUCCAGGUGUAGCGGUGAAAUGCGUAGAGAUCUGGAGGAAUACCGGUGGCGAAAGCGGCCCCCUGGACAAAGACUGACGCUCAGGUGCGAAAGCGUGGGGAGCAAACAGG